CUGGUCAAAGGAGAAGAUGGUACCUGGCUUCAAUGCUGAGUACCAGUUCUUUGCUGCUCCCUUCAGAGUGGAUGGAAAAGCUUGGCACAGGAUGGCGUCUGGCACACCAUGGAGCAGCAUCAUUGUCCAGAAGGCCUCCAGGUGGUCAACCGGAUCCGAGGUCCCAUCGUAGCUUUCGAAUUGGGAGAGCUUGAAGUUUGGCGGGAUCGAUUCCUGCAUGAUUAUUUGAGAGAAAGGACGGUCAGUGCAGAUGUCCUCACCA
This 262-nucleotide long non-coding RNA is filed under the name Elaeis guineensis (African oil palm). RNAcentral's name for it is "long non-coding RNA (EGUI_LNC050283)". The record is from RNAcentral. Lineage: Eukaryota; Viridiplantae; Streptophyta; Magnoliopsida; Arecales; Arecaceae.